Molecule: ribosomal RNA, 253 nt
Filed under: uncultured bacterium
Lineage: Bacteria
Description: partial 16S ribosomal RNA
Rfam family: Bacterial small subunit ribosomal RNA
Source: RNAcentral
GACAGAGGGUGCAAACGUUGUUCGGAAUUACUGGGCGUAAAGCGCGCGUAGGCGGACUGGCAAGUCAGAUGUGAAAGCCCCGGGCUCAACUUGGGAACUGCAUUUGAUACUGCCAGACUAGAGUACAGAAGAGGUGACUGGAAUUCCCAGUGUAGCGGUGAAAUGCGUAGAUAUUGGGAGGAACACCAGAUGCGAGGGCGGGUCACUGGGCUGAUACUGACGCUGAGGCGCGAAAGCCAGGGGAGCGAACGGG